GAACGCUAGCUACAGGCUUAACACAUGCAAGUCGAGGGGCAGCAUCAUCAAAGCUUGCUUUGAUGGAUGGCGACCGGCGCACGGGUGAGUAACACGUAUCCAACCUGCCGACAACACUGGGAUAGCCUUUCGAAAGAAAGAUUAAUACCGGAUGGCAUAAUUAUUCCGCAUGGGAUAAUUAUUAAAGAAUUUCGGUUGUCGAUGGGGAUGCGUUCCAUUAGGCAGUUGGCGGGGUAACGGCCCACCAAACCUACGAUGGAUAGGGGUUCUGAGAGGAAGGUCCCCCACAUUGGAACUGAGACACGGUUCAAACUCCUACGGGAGGCAGCAGUGAGGAAUAUUGGUCAAUGGACGAGAGUCUGAACCAGCCAAGUAGCGUGAAGGAUGACUGCCCUAUGGGUUGUAAACUUCUUUUAUACGGGAAUAAAGUGAGCCACGUGUGGCUUUUUGUAUGUACCGUAUGAAUAAGGAUCGGCUAACUCCGUGCCAGCAGCCGCGGUAAUACGGAGGAUUCGAGCGUUAUCCGGAUUUAUUGGGUUUAAAGGGAGCGUAGGCGGGUUGUUAAGUCAGUUGUGAAAGUUUGCGGCUCAACCGUAAAAUUGCAGUUGAUACUGGCGACCUUGAGUGCAACAGAGGUAGGCGGAAUUCGUGGUGUAGCGGUGAAAUGCUUAGAUAUCACGAAGAACUCCGAUUGCGAAGGCAGCUUACUGGAUUGUAACUGACGCUGAUGCUCGAAAGUGUGGGUAUCAAACAGGAUUAGAUACCCUGGUAGUCCACACAGUAAACGAUGAAUACUCGCUGUUGGCGAUAUACAGUCAGCGGCCAAGCGAAAGCAUUAAGUAUUCCACCUGGGGAGUACGCCGGCAACGGUGAAACUCAAAGGAAUUGACGGAAG
RNAcentral lists this ribosomal RNA (895 nucleotides) under uncultured bacterium. RNAcentral's name for it is "bacterial SSU rRNA". It matches the Rfam family "Bacterial small subunit ribosomal RNA", at positions 31 to 919 of the family's 1533-position model. The record is from RNAcentral.